AUAAUAAUAAUAAAAGAAUUUAACUUUGGACGGAUUGUCGUUGACGAAAUACAGCAAAAGGACUACUACUUACACUCAUUCGAGAAACAGGUCUGGAUGCCGAAGCUUGAAAAUAAGAGAGUUCCAAAUUAUCCAAAAACCCCUUAUCUUCAAAAAUCAGCUGGAAUUCUGUAGCCAAAUGGUCAAAAGUUGUAGAAGAACCGCUUUCCAACACAAAGACAGCUUGUGAACCAAAAAACUCAGCCAGUACCGAUAUUCUAAACCGAACCGG
Non-coding RNA from Schizosaccharomyces pombe (fission yeast), 271 nucleotides. The record is from the annotation of a GenBank genome assembly. Lineage: Eukaryota; Fungi; Ascomycota; Schizosaccharomycetes; Schizosaccharomycetales; Schizosaccharomycetaceae.